AAGCAUAUCAAUAAGCGGAGGAAAAGAAACCAACAGGGAUUGCUCUAGUAACGGCGAGUGAAGCAGCAAUAGCUCAAAUUUGAAAUCUGGCGUCUUCGGCGUCCGAGUUGUAAUUUGUAGAGGAUGCUUCUGAGUGGCCACCGACCUAAGUUCCUUGGAACAGGACGUCAUAGAGGGUGAGAAUCCCGUAUGCGGUCGGAAAGGCGCUCUACACGUAGCUCCUUCGACGAGUCGAGUUGUUUGGGAAUGCAGCUCUAAAUGGGAGGUAAAUUUCUUCUAAAGCUAAAUAUUGGCCAGAGACCGAUAGCGCACAAGUAGAGUGAUCGAAAGAUGAAAAGCACUUUGGAAAGAGAGUUAAAAAGCACGUGAAAUUGUUGAAAGGGAAGGGAUUGCAACCAGACUUGCUCGCGGUGUUCCGCCGGUCUUCUGACCGGUCUACUCGCCGCGUUGCAGGCCAGCAUCGUCUGGUGCCGCUGGAUAAGACUUGAGGAAUGUAGCUCCCUCGGGAGUGUUAUAGCCUCUUGUGAUGCAGCGAGCGCCGGGCGAGGUCCGCGCUUCGGCUAGGAUGCUGGCGUAAUGGUCGUAAUCCGCCCGUCUUGAAACACGGACCAAGGAGUCUAACAUCUAUGCGAGUGUUCGGGUGUCAAACCCCUACGCGUAAUGAAAGUGAACGGAGGUGAGAACCGCAAGGUGCAUCAUCGACCGAUCCUGAUGUCUUCGGAUGGAUUUGAGUAUGAGCAUAGCUGUUGGGACCCGAAAGAUGGUGAACUAUGCCUGAAUAGGGUGAAGCCAGAGGAAACUCUGGUGGAGGCUCGCAGCGGUUCUGACGUGCAAAUCGAUCGUCAAAUUUGGGUAUAGGGGCGAAAGACUAAUCGAACCAUCUAGUAGCUGGUUCCUGCCGA
Molecule: ribosomal RNA, 902 nt
Filed under: Cladosporium cladosporioides
Lineage: Eukaryota; Fungi; Ascomycota; Dothideomycetes; Cladosporiales; Cladosporiaceae
Description: LSU rRNA
Rfam family: Eukaryotic large subunit ribosomal RNA
Source: RNAcentral